This 872-nucleotide long non-coding RNA is filed under the name Pongo abelii (Sumatran orangutan). RNAcentral's name for it is "lincRNA". The record is from RNAcentral. Lineage: Eukaryota; Metazoa; Chordata; Mammalia; Primates; Hominidae.
GGCACAAGCAGGUCCUGAAGGCAGGAUCCUGAAGAUCAGGCACCACCUGACAGAAUUCUCAAGCACCUGACCCAUCACCUCUGCAGUGCAUCCCUUUCCAGAAGUCCACUCUCCUGAUUCACCACAAGUGGAAGUUUUAACAAUGGAAACACCAUUGUGGAGACUGUGCAAGGUGUCCACAUUGCUAGCUGGGCGGUGAAUGAUUCAGCUCCAAAAUCCCAUUUGAUUGCUUGCUCUUUCCAGACACAACUGCAGCAAACUGGAUUGUCUAGACACAGAUGAUGAGACAGAGUUUAGGGUGCAAGAAGCUAACUAGGGAUCAACACCUGUGUAAGGAAGCAGGUGGAAGCACGAUUGAAGUUGAGAAAGAUGAAGAAGUUGAACUGCCCUGCAGGCCAGACAGAGCCUUGCCAAACCAGUGAGGAACUCCCAGGAAGUCCUGCCUGCCAGUUUCCCACGUGGAGCCUAAACAGUCGUGCUUUUAUCUCUCCACCUUGCUCAGUCACCAGAUGCAGGCCACGCCCAGAAGGGCAUGUUUUUCUCUGCAGCUCAGACUCUGAUGUUGAGGAGCUGGGAGAUGGAAGCCACCUGCUGACUGCACUCCCUGCAGCUGGUCAGCCCAUCCUUCUCGAGGGGCAUCUCAAUGGCAUCUUCUUCAGAAUGCAAGGCUGGGUGUAGUGGCCCACGCCUGUAAUCCCAGCACUUUGGCAGGCCGAGGCGGGCAGAUCACCGGAGCUCAGGAGUUCGAAACCAGCCUGGGCAACAUGGCGAAACCCUCUCUCUACUAAAAAUACAAAAAUGAACUGCACAUGUUGGCGCACACCUGCAAUCCCAGCUACUCAGGAGGCUGAGGCAGGAGAAUCGCUUGAACC